GCUGGUGUGUGUGUCUUUCAU
Molecule: unclassified non-coding RNA, 21 nt
Filed under: Mus musculus (house mouse)
Lineage: Eukaryota; Metazoa; Chordata; Mammalia; Rodentia; Muridae
Description: oocyte_clustered_small_RNA7002
Source: RNAcentral